RNAcentral lists this long non-coding RNA (327 nucleotides) under Pan troglodytes (chimpanzee). RNAcentral's name for it is "lncRNA (ENSPTRG00000054086.1)". Lineage: Eukaryota; Metazoa; Chordata; Mammalia; Primates; Hominidae. The record is from RNAcentral.
CUCAUGGGGACUUCAGUUUCCUCACUGCAAGGAAUGGGGCAUCCCCUGCUGAAGAUUUCCCCCCUGAACUCUACCCUCAGGGUUCAAAGCCCUCAAAGCUAAAGGCUAACUCCACAAGUAUAACAGAAGACUUCUUGGUGUGGAAAGUAGACCUUAAAAUAAAAGAAGCGGACAAAGAACUUGCUAAGCUUCCACAUACAACAUAUGCACAUUUGUAGAAAAUAAAAGAGAAACUUCUGAAGCUCAAAGCGAGAAAACUUUUCCUCCUUAUCCAUCCUCAGAUUCUCUACUGAAAUUGACCUUCCACAGGUCCCAGUUUGGAAAAAG